Molecule: unclassified non-coding RNA, 351 nt
Filed under: soil metagenome
Description: partial contains 5.8S ribosomal RNA, internal transcribed spacer 2, and large subunit ribosomal RNA
Rfam family: 5.8S ribosomal RNA (bases 1-120)
Source: RNAcentral
GAUGAAGAACGUAGCGAAAUGCGAUAAGUAAUGUGAAUUGCAGAAUUCAGUGAAUCAUCGAAUCUUUGAACGCACAUUGCGCCCGCCAGUAUUCUGGCGGGCAUGCCUGUUCGAGCGUCAUUUCAACCCUCAAGCCCUGCUUGGUGUUGGGUGCCGGCACGCGCGCCUCCGGGCGCCCGCCGCCCCCGAAAUGAAUUGGCGGUCUCGUCGCAGCCUCCCUCGCGUAGUAGUAAAACAUCUCGCUUGGUGGAGUGCGGCGCGGCCACGCCGUAAAACCUCUUAAUUUUUUUAAGUUGACCUCGGAUCAGGUAGGAAUACCCGCUGAACUUAAGCAUAUCAAUAAGCGGAGGA